UAAUAAAUACGGAUGGUUGUUAUGUACAAGAUGUCAUAGUUUAUUACUUUGAAUUUGAAAUUUAAUCGACCAUAAUAACAGAACAUUCAGUAUUUAAAUUAAAAUUAAAUAACACAUAUCUGAGAGGGUGAUAGAGCAGAUUGUUACCCCUCGAAAAGACAUUAUCAACCUUGGCUUUGCCUCAGUUGACAAUGUUUUCUCAGGGUAACAAU
Molecule: long non-coding RNA, 212 nt
Filed under: Mytilus galloprovincialis (Mediterranean mussel)
Lineage: Eukaryota; Metazoa; Mollusca; Bivalvia; Mytilida; Mytilidae
Source: RNAcentral